Molecule: ribosomal RNA, 480 nt
Filed under: uncultured bacterium
Lineage: Bacteria
Description: partial 16S ribosomal RNA
Rfam family: Bacterial small subunit ribosomal RNA
Source: RNAcentral
GACGAACGCUGGCGGCGUGCUUAACACAUGCAAGUCGAACGAUGAAGAAAAGAAAUGAAGCUUCGGCAGAAAUUCAUUUCGGAUUAGUGGCAGACGGGUGAGUAACGCGUGAGCAACCUACCUCUUACAAAGGGAUAGCCUCGGGAAACCGGGAUUAAUACCAUAUAACAUUGCGACGAAGCAUUUCGAUGCAAUCAAAGCUACGGCGGUAAGAGAUGGGCUCGCGUCCCAUUAACCAGAUGGUGAGGUAACGGCUCACCAUAGUAACGAUGGGUAACCGGCCUGAGAGGGUGAACGGUCACACUGGAACUGAGACACGGUCCAGACUCCUACGGGAGGCAGCAGUGGGGAAUAUUGCACAAUGGAGGGAACUCUGAUGCAGCGACGCCGCGUGAGUGAUGAAGGAAUUCGUUUCGUAAAACUCUGUUCUAUGGGAAGAAAAGGACUGUACCAUAGGAGAAAGCUCCGGCUAAAUACGUG